AUUGAACGCUGGCGGCAUGCCUUACACAUGCAAGUCGAACGGCAGCACGGGAGCAAUCCUGGUGGCGAGUGGCGAACGGGUGAGUAAAGUAACGGAACGUGCCCAGUCGUGGGGGAUAACGUAGCGAAAGUUACGCUAAUACCGCAUACGAUCUAUGGAUGAAAGCGGGGGAUCGCAAGACCUCGCGCGAUUGGAGCGGCCGAUAUCAGAUUAGGUAGUUGGUGGGGUAAAGGCUCACCAAGCCGACGAUCUGUAGCUGGUCUGAGAGGACGACCAGCCACACUGGGACUGAGACACGGCCCAGACUCCUACGGGAGGCAGCAGUGGGGAAUUUUGGACAAUGGGCGCAAGCCUGAUCCAGCCAUGCCGCGUGCAGGAUGAAGGCCUUCGGGUUGUAAACUGCUUUUGUACGGAACGAAAAGGUUUGGCCUAAUAAGCUGAGCUCAUGACGGUACCGUAAGAAUAAGCACCGGCUAACUACGUGCCAGCAGCCGCCGUAA
Molecule: ribosomal RNA, 500 nt
Filed under: uncultured bacterium
Lineage: Bacteria
Description: partial 16S ribosomal RNA
Rfam family: Bacterial small subunit ribosomal RNA
Source: RNAcentral